UGGGGAAUAUUGGACAAUGGGCGCAAGCCUGAUCCAGCCAUGCCGCGUGUGUGAAGAAGGCCUUUUGGUUGUAAAGCACUUUAAGCGAGGAGGAGGCUACUUGGAUUAAUACUCUAGGAUAGUGGACGUUACUCGCAGAAUAAGCACCGGCUAACUCUGUGCCAGCAGCCGCGGUAAUACAGAGGGUGCGAGCGUUAAUCGGAUUUACUGGGCGUAAAGCGUGCGUAGGCGGCUUCUUAAGUCGGAUGUGAAAUCCCUGAGCUUAACUUAGGAAUUGCAUUCGAUACUGGGAAGCUAGAGUAUGGGAGAGGAUGGUAGAAUUCCAGGUGUAGCGGUGAAAUGCGUAGAGAUCUGGAGGAAUACUGAUGGCGAAGGCAGCCAUCUGGCCUAAUACUGACGCUGAGGUACGAAAGCAUGGGGAGCAAACAGG
This 430-nucleotide ribosomal RNA is filed under the name Acidobacteriota bacterium. RNAcentral describes it as "Acidobacteria bacterium partial 16S ribosomal RNA". It matches the Rfam family "Bacterial small subunit ribosomal RNA", at positions 355 to 776 of the family's 1533-position model. Lineage: Bacteria; Pseudomonadati; Acidobacteriota. The record is from RNAcentral.